This 528-nucleotide ribosomal RNA is filed under the name Triticum aestivum (bread wheat). RNAcentral describes it as "partial small subunit ribosomal RNA". Lineage: Eukaryota; Viridiplantae; Streptophyta; Magnoliopsida; Poales; Poaceae. The record is from RNAcentral.
AUGUCCGGAGCGGGAGGCAGGUGGAUGGUCCCCUCCGUCACGGAGGGACACGUCAAGAAGCUGAGGAGAGUCGGAUACUUGCCCGACGACAUCGCGCACCGGCUCCCAGAGGAGGGGCAGCUCAUCCCCACCCCCAGGCCCCAUGAGAGGGUGGUGUUCCUUACCCAUUUCCUCCGCGGACUGGGAUUUCCUCUCCACCCAUUUGUCCGGUGGCUCAUGUUCUACUACGGCCUGGAUUUCCAUGAUCUGACCCCGAACUUCAUCCUCAACAUCUCGGCGUUUAUCGUCGUGUGUGAGGCCUUCCUCCACAUCAAGCCCCACUUCGGCUUAUGGCUGAAGACUUUCAUUGUCAAGCCGAAGGUAGUGAGCGGCCGCCAGGUGGAGUGCGGAGGCGAUAUGGUGGGCAAGAUGCCCAACGUCACAUGGCUCGAGGGCUCCUUCGUGGAGACAAUAAAGGGGUGGCAGUCGGGGUGGUUCUACAUCACCGAGCCACGUGACCCUACGUGGGUAGCGGCCCCCGAAUUUUGA